CCACAUCGCUUUAUGUGCUUGAUUAGCAGCCUUUAUAAUGUAAGCAUAGCAUAGUUUUAUGUGUAAUAAAUAAGUUACGUGGUUUCUGCUUCAAGAUCAAGGCUCUGAAGCCUUGUCAGUUAAAUGGUGUUAGAGUUACUCUAUUCUUUCAUCUGGGGAAAUAAUAUGUUCUUUGAAAUAUGUGAGCUACUUUAUCUGAAACUAAGAAAGAAAAUGAAGGGUCAGCCUCGUGCAGGUAUCUCACAUGAUGAAUUUUAUUUAAUAAUAAUAUACUUAUUUAAUAAUGCAGGAAGGCAUCAGAAGGUGGUGGUCAGGGUGACUUGUAUGGCAGAAGAUGGAGAAUUUGGAACUCGCUGAAAGUCAUGAAAAACCUUUUAAGAAGGUUCUCUUCAGUUUCUGUCCACCAGCAAAUUUCCAUUCUGCUCUUCAGGACUCAAGCUGGCUUCUUUCAAGACUUCCAGUCUGGGUAAAAGAAGCCUGAGUUCCUGUUCCAGUUGGUGACUGAAGAGUUGAGCUCCUGGCAGAGAUGGACCCUGGGAGUUUCCUCUCUGCCUCUGGGACACAGAUAUCCCUACGAUGACACUGGGCUCCCAGCAGCCGCCUCAAUGGACGGCCAGAAGGGGCUGUUGAAAUCCCAGCAGGUCGGGUGUCAUCUGAGCUCUUUAAUUAGGACAAGUUUCUUUAGGCUGCUUUCAGUGAGAGGCACGCGGCCAAAUUAGCUCCUAGAAAAACCAAAGUUCCGGUAUGGAUCACAGCAGAUCACUGCUGCAACCGACGCUCUGCACCUGUUUCAUCCUGAAUAGCUCCACUGCUGCCUUUGGAGCCGCUUCCAGCUCUAAUUUAGGAAACAGAGCAGGCUGGGCGUUAGGGCAGCUCUAUCAGUCUGUGUUUGACCUGAUGCAUGAGAAACACCUCCUCAGCUCCGAGCAAUUCUUGCAAUAUAUCCAAAAACUGUCUGGCAGCGUUCAGAUCCCUCCCAGGGACACAGAAUCACAGAAUGACCCGGGUUGGAAGGGACCUCAAGGAUCAUGUAGUUCCAAUCCCCCUGCCUGGCAGGGCCACCAA
Molecule: non-coding RNA, 1065 nt
Organism: Coturnix japonica (Japanese quail)
Lineage: Eukaryota; Metazoa; Chordata; Aves; Galliformes; Phasianidae
Source: RefSeq, a predicted model, not a curated record